CUUCGACCUUGAUAAGAUGUAAUACAAGGUGAAGAAUAUGAAUCCUCAUGCUCCACAUGUGCACUUUCACCAAGGCUCUCAUACGCUUUGCGAAGGAAAGGGUUAUACCUUACACAAAUUCUAGGUUCGGAGUGGGAAGUGUAAGACUUCUCACAUGCCCCAACUUCAUCAUAAGAACCAUCACAAGGCCCUACAUCAUCUCUAUAUUCACCAUAAGCACUAGGAACUUCAUUCACUUCAUUUUCUCCCUCAAAACCAUAACUCUCAA
This 268-nucleotide long non-coding RNA is filed under the name Capsicum annuum. RNAcentral's name for it is "long non-coding RNA (CANN_LNC010102)". The record is from RNAcentral. Lineage: Eukaryota; Viridiplantae; Streptophyta; Magnoliopsida; Solanales; Solanaceae.